This 108-nucleotide ribosomal RNA is filed under the name uncultured Cenococcum. RNAcentral's name for it is "partial 5.8S ribosomal RNA". It matches the Rfam family "5.8S ribosomal RNA", at positions 1 to 107 of the family's 154-position model. From Rfam's summary of the family: 5.8S ribosomal RNA (5.8S rRNA) is a component of the large subunit of the eukaryotic ribosome. It is transcribed by RNA polymerase I as part of the 45S precursor that also contains 18S and 28S rRNA. Lineage: Eukaryota; Fungi; Ascomycota; Dothideomycetes; Gloniales; Gloniaceae. The record is from RNAcentral.
AAACUUUCAACAACGGAUCUCUUGGUUCUGGCAUCGAUGAAGAACGCAGCGAAAUGCGAUAAGUAGUGUGAAUUGCAGAAUUCAGUGAAUCAUCGAAUCUUUGAACGC